CCCUUUUCCAGAAUAGACCUGCGCCGUUACAGAUCGGACCUGCUAAAAACAUCUGUUUUGGUUCUGAUUAUCAUGUUUGUCGCGCUGAAAUCAUGCGUUUUAACGCAUACGAGUUUAAAUUUCUGAUAAAUGGUUUUCUGAGCGUGCACAGCCAAAGCGCACGGACAGAAAGCGGCCACCACACAGCAUGUAAUAAUAGAUGUCAGGUUACCAUGGCAACGUCAUAUCCCAUCCUUGGACAAGUGUUUCAGUUUGCGAAUGAGAGGAAAUGGGAUCUUUACACCCAAUUUGAAGUGAAAAGGUGGUGCUGCUGCAUCUUCACUAUGAAACUUAACCUCAGACGGAACAAGCUUCAUACUGCUUCCAGGGGCAGUGGGACGCGGUUUGCUUGUGUUAGUGUUUCCGAGAACACACACAUGCUGUAUUCUGGCAGUGUUCAGAGUUAAUCCCCACUCAGCCACGCUCCACGCUCACGCUGCAAGACGGCAAAUGUAACACAAAAACACGCUGGAAAAAGACAGGACGGUGUCUAUUAACACACGACUCUUUUAUCAAGAAUUCAUGGAUUAUUUCAGAUCUCUCUUUCUCCUUGAUUUGCUUCCAAAC
Cyprinus carpio carpio is the source of this 606-nucleotide long non-coding RNA. NCBI's taxonomy places the organism in Eukaryota, Metazoa, Chordata, Actinopteri, Cypriniformes, Cyprinidae. The record is from Ensembl.